AUAGCGAACAAGUCCCGUGAGGGAAAGUUGAAAAGACCUUUGAAGAGAGAGUUCCACAGUACGUGAAACCGUUCAGGGGUAAACCUGAGAAACCCGAAAGGUAGAAAGGGGAGAUUCAACGCGUUUCGGUACUCGCGAGCUGGGGGUUUGCGUGGGUGAGCCCCCCGCUCGCCCGGCGUUUGAGCUGGCCCGGCGUCAAGAACGAUCGGGUAUCGAACGCGUGCACUUCUCCUCCUGUAGGACGUCGUGACCCGUUGGGCGCCGGCCUAAGGCCCGCGGUGGAGCCCGGACGCCUUCCGUGUGCGUCCGGACCCGCGGUGUCCCGGCCGGUACGACCGACGGUAUAACUAUGGCGCGGGGCCGCGGCAUUAAGUUCGCGUCCGGCGCGUCGCAAGCGCG
This 399-nucleotide ribosomal RNA is filed under the name Sisyphus caffer. RNAcentral's name for it is "partial large subunit ribosomal RNA". Lineage: Eukaryota; Metazoa; Arthropoda; Insecta; Coleoptera; Scarabaeidae. The record is from RNAcentral.